AACUGAUACUACCUGCGGGAACCUGCGGAAGGAUCAUUACCGAGUUAUCAACUCCCAAACCCCUGUGAACAUACCCGAACGUUGCCUCGGCGGGACCGCCCCGGCGCCCCUAGCGGCCCGGAACCAGGCGCCCGCCGGAGGACCCAAACUCUUGCUUUAAACAGUGGCAUACUCUCUGAGUCUCACAAACAAAAAAUAAAUCAAAACUUUUAACAACGGAUCUCUAGAUCGGAAGAGCAC
This 240-nucleotide unclassified non-coding RNA is filed under the name soil metagenome. RNAcentral describes it as "partial contains 5.8S ribosomal RNA, internal transcribed spacer 2, and large subunit ribosomal RNA". The record is from RNAcentral.